This 492-nucleotide long non-coding RNA is filed under the name Olea europaea subsp. europaea. The record is from RNAcentral. Lineage: Eukaryota; Viridiplantae; Streptophyta; Magnoliopsida; Lamiales; Oleaceae.
CCACAAUGCGCAGCCCAGUGACAAAAUUACGUAGCCAUAUUCCAUGAUUUGAUACUUCAUAAAACGCUAUAAAUUUCGCUGCCAUGGUGGAAGUAGCUGUGAGUGUCUGCUUAGCACUCUUCUAGAAAAUAGCACCUUUAGCAAGCAGGUAAAUAUAGCCUGAAGUGGAUCUCCUAUUAUCUUGGCAUCCUACGAAAUCGGAAUCAGAAUAACCGACGAUCUCCAACUGAUCCGAUCUCCUGUAUGUGAGCAUAUAGUCUCUUGUUCUUUGUAAAUAUCGUAUAACCCGUUUGGCUGCUUUCCAACGAUCCAUUCUCGGGUCAUUUAUAUAUCUCCCUAGCAUCCAAAUAAUGUAAGCUAUAUCCGGAUGCGCACAAACCUAAGCAUACAUCAGAUCCCUACUGCUGAAGAAUAAGGAAUCUUCUGUAUUUCUUUACUUUCUAAGUCAUUUUGGGGCAUUGACUUAAAUUGUACUUGUCUCCUUUAGCCACA